This 6843-nucleotide unclassified non-coding RNA is filed under the name Amphimedon queenslandica. Its description in RNAcentral is "uncharacterized LOC109582282, transcript variant X2". Lineage: Eukaryota; Metazoa; Porifera; Demospongiae; Haplosclerida; Niphatidae. The record is from RNAcentral.
GUUUGCUUGUUGUUCAGUCUCGCUACAACCUUUAGCAAGUUUUUAUAGUCAAUGGUAAGUUUUAUGUGUGAGUAUGCAUGGCAUGUUUCAUUUUGUUUUAAUGUUUUAAUUUAAGAGGGUUUGGUUUUUUGUCAGACAGUAGUGGCAUGAGUGCUUUCCAUUAUGGAUUUUUAAGGAACAACCCAAUUCCCUUUGAAGAUUCCAUUAAAAAUCCUUUUUUUUCAUGCUGCUAAAAUAACAUCCUGCCUUUGUUAUUGGAAUCAACUAGCACCUGGACAAUUGUGUGGUUGGAGGGCUGGCUGUGGGUUUUUGGUUUAUUGUGUGUGUGUGUUUGUGCAUGUGUGUGUGUGAGUGACUCUGUGUGUGUGUGUGUGUGUGUAUGUGUGUGUGUGUGUGUGUGUGAUGAGUUGGUGACCUCUAUGCACUUAAUACCGUAUAGUGGAUUUCUGUCAUUCAGUUAAAAUUUUGUUCUCAAAUUAAACCCACAAAAUUACGAAAACGCACGUUCAUGUGUAUACACAGAGUGGAUGUGUUGACCCAACAAAAAACCUGCUAUAGCAUUCAUUGGACAAAACCAGCGUUUUAGGUAUGCAUUCUAGUCUACAUGCACUAUCGCCUAAGUAGCUAUGAUUUGGUUUUGCCCCUUAAAACUGGUCAUUUUUGGAUAAAGUUUCUAUAGUAAAUUUGGCCUGCACAGUUAAUUCACAUAUACCUAUGCCACUUGAAUACUACUUCCUUGUCUGAAUACAUGCCAACAAUGAUGGGUAAUUGGGUAUGGCUCCAGCUAGGACUGAGAAGUGGGGUAGAGACCAAAGUGUGGAUAUUUUUUGGUGCAUGCAAAUUAAGUGCAUACAAAAGAUGUGCUAAUCAAGCUAAGCAUACUUUUAAACUUCUUUUAGUUUGGCUAAACAAACAUUUCACUGAUACUUUUAGAGGUUCUCUAACUUUUAAGUCUUUAGGUCAUGUCCUGACUCCUGUUACUGAAAUUCAAGAUUUUUAAAUUUGCCUUUUUUCUUUACUUUGACCACACCCACUUGACGUUAUAUGCGUGGGUAAUUGGGUAUAGCCAAAACCGUGAACAUACAACUUUAAUUAUGCAAAGUAUGAAGAAAGAAAUCACAGCUAGUACAAGUGCAUGGUUCAUGAUGCUUGUAGUAUGUUCAUUAGCAGCAAGAUCACUCAUUUUUGAUCAAGAGGAAGGCAAGGGAGCAUGAGGUUUCACACUGAACUAAUGCGUCUUCUGAACGAUCAAAGUUGGUCACUAAAGGAGGUAACAUUGCUUUGUUACAGUUAUAAAUCCAUCCUUUAACUCACAUAGUACCAUUCACUAAUGAUAUUGCAAGGCCAUUACUACGGCACCUUAUCAUGGCAUUAAAAAUUACUAUUUUAGUAUAUAUAUAUAUACCAACCCACCAACCAUAUGUAUAAUUUACUGGAAUAGCAACUGGCCUAACUGGUUUUUGAUUCUCCUAAUUAAUGCCUAUGAUAUAGAAGGUGGGGCUUGGUUUCUUGACUAUUAUUAUAAAAAUGGAGUAAAUUCUAGUUUUCUAUUAGUUAGAGGAUCGAACUAGUUUGAGGAGUAAAACCGUACCAAAGAAUAUUCUUUAUUGCAUACCUUUCACCAAUUUCUGUAUGUCUGCUUGCUUUUACCAAUUAAGAAUCACUUUUUUUAUUGUAACUUUUAGGAUAAUCUUGCUUCAUGGAUCAAGAACUAUCAGAAUUUAUGAACAAUAAUGACUUCUUCCUUUUAAGUUCAGCUUUUUCCAUUGCAGCACCUGUGGAUGAGCCCAAGAAGACCAAAUUUGAAUACAACCAUACUAAUAAUGAGUCAAAUGUAUUUAAUGAGGAGCCAUCACUCAAGUAUCUGAAAAAGAAGCUAAAUGCUACCGAAGAGAAGGUGAAUCAUUUGGUUUUACAGAAUUAUAAUGAAAUGAUGGAGAAUGUAUAUCAACAAGUGACAGUCCCAACGUUUUUUACAAAAUGGACGUCUCACUCAAUACCAUACACAUCAAGUAUUGAUGACACUUUUCAUGCACAGAAUACACAAGAAUGGGCACAAUACUUGGUAACAGCUAGCCACCGUACUACUGGAAGUGUCUCAGUAUACAGGAUAGCUAAAGAAAGACUAAGACAUUCUGAAACAAUAAUGAUUCCUGGAGACAAAACAUUAACAUCAACAGCACACUUUACAUUGCUGUAGCCUGCAAAAAUUAUUACGACGAUACAAAAACAAACUCGCAACUUUACCACUUGGACAGAUGAUGAGACUCUGAAACAUCUAUUACAUUUGGACUGACAACUUGUGAAAUAUUUCUCACUUUACAAUGCUCACAGACAGUCAAAGCUCAACUGUGGCUAAGCUAUUCCCUGUCGUUAUGAUAUCUGAGCAGCUCUCAUUCAUUUAUAGGUGGAAUGGAUCUUGCUUCGAGUUUGAGCUUUUCCAGACAAUAUGCAACAAAAAAUCUCCACUCUCCUAGUAACUGCUAAUUUUAACCAGAUCAUCAGUUGUUUAUAAAAUGAAUAAAUUUACACGACGUUUUAAACAAUUCAAACAUCAAAGGUCAAGCAGUUGAGAGUUUUACAAUAAACAAUGAACACUUUGUUGCUAUAGUUAAAGAAUAGGAAUCAUUAGGACAUCCUAAACAAAUCAUUUACAAAGUCAGUUGAUCACUACCUAAAACUUUAUUCAAAAGAUCACAAUGUUUCAUAUAUCCUCUUUUAAAGUGUAUUGUGAUGUCCUCUUUGGGUCCUGAGUGAUGGGAAUAGGGAAUGCAUUUCUGUUGAUCUGUACAAAUGGAUUGAUGCCUAGAAAACUGUCAAAUAUUAUACAUAAACUAGACUUUGCUUAUAAUUAUUGAUUGUUAAUUAUUGCCCUUUCUUUUGGUUUUGUUAUUUUGCUGUGUAGAUCAAUUAUUGAUAGUUAUUUAGAACUAUUGUUCUUUAUUUUUUGCUCUGUUUUGUUGAUUUAGUACUUAUUUUAAAAUUUAAAACAAAGUUUAAAGUCCAUGCACACGGUAGCUAUGUGGUUUUAAUAGAGCCUAGUGCAGCACUAGGCUCUAGAAGUGCAUAGCAAAAAGUGAAGGCAAAAAGUCUGUUAGUGUAUUACCCAGAGCCAUCUUAUGUUAACGGAAACAGAACUGCAGAAGUGGAUUAUAGGUGAGAAAAUACAUAAUUUAAGAGAGUGAGAGAGAGACCCUCUUUCUUUCACCUGUUUCACCUUUUGCAACUUCUAAGGUAUCCUAUACCUACACAUUAGGAAAUUAUGUUAAUGUGUAGUGUAGCAUGCAAAUUUAAAAGACUAGUAGAAGUGCCUUUCAAUUUGUUAUUAACUUAAUGAAUUAUUACUUUUUUCUUAGUCGAAAUCACAUAUUGUUAUCUUUCUUCUUUUCUCUCUUCUUUAAUCAAUUUUUUCUUUUUGUGUGCGAUCUCACUUUUGCAUUUUCUAGUCUUAAAUAAUAAUAGUAAUAAAAUGAGAGGUGAGCAUGCAAUUCCAGGUUGCAUUCAGUGAUGAUAUUACAUUGAUUGACAAAAAGCAUAACGUUAGAGUUAACCCCAAAAUGACAUUUCCUCCUCAGGAUGCACAUUCCCCACUGGGUACUAUACUUGGACAUAUCAAUUCAUUUAUGUCAAUUUCUCUUUAUAUGGUGUAUGUAUAACAAUAGUGGGUUAUUUAGGGUUAUUUAGGGUAAUAUUUUGGUAAAAGGAAUCCAACUUUGUGAGUUUUAUUUUUGUUCUGUGGGGAAAGGAUGGGUGUGCCAAGUUUUGUGAGUUUCAUUUUUGCUCUUGCAUGAACAAAAAACAGAAGUUUGGCUAAGUGAAAGAGGCCAGCUAUAUGGUAGUUCAGCUAAUGUACCUAAUGCUCACCACUUACUUUGGGUAUAAAAAUUUGUUUUUGCAGGUGUUACCACAUAAAGGGAAGAACUGUGGUUUCCUCUUAAUCCAAACCUACUUCUCCAAAUUGACAAAACCUUAUUAAUCAGGCACUUAAUUACUCUAUUUAUCUUCCAUUGCUAAUAGUGUCCUUGUAAUGCUAUAAGCAUCAAGUGCAUAUUCUAUGCUAAUAGCUGCCAAACUUGCCAUAUUAGCUAAGAUAAAUUAAUAUUGGUACAAACCAUAUUCAUAAUUCAUAAAAGCAAGAACAUAUGUCUAUAUACUCUUCGUAAAAGUAUACAUACAACAUUACUAUAAGUGCAAAAUAUAAUAAAAAUUUAUAAUAAUAUUAUAAGUGCAGAAUAACAUGAAGCCUACUAAAGUUAAAACUUGUAUGGUAUUUUGACAGCUGUGUUUACAGCAUAAUCUUGAAUACCACAUUAUGUUCUUUGGUCAGUACCAUUAGUUGUGGUAUUGAGGCCAGGUGCUUCCAUUAGUAUUUAAUGAUGCUUUUGAUCAGAAAAAAUAUAAGUUUUAUCAUCAUGCAUUUGCAUUGAUCAGUUACACUUUGCACACAUACUGAUAAAACAUAAUGUCCAAUGCUUGGUGUGUAUUUUUCAGCCAAAGUGUAGUAGUAUUGCUGGAAUCAUUUUAUUUUUUUUGUGCAGAUUAAAAUCCUGAGCAUAUAAGGUGCAGUUCAUCAAUCAUCAAGAGAAGCUGAAAGCCCUAACUUCUUCCUUAAAAUUGGCUGAUGAACCGAAAAUGCCCUUGCAUUUAUUGUUUCAGCUAUUUUAGUUUGUUCUGUUGCAGCACACUGGAGGAGGCCAAAAUUCGAAUAUAACCGUACUAAAAAAUGAGGUAAUGAUCAUUAACAUCAUUAUUACCAUUUUAUUAGUCAAAUAUCAGCCAUGUAUCUGGAAAAGAGAAUAAAUGCCACUGAAGAAAAGGUUAGUCAUUUCAUAUAUUAUUAUAAAUUAUUCUAUCAUAGGUUACCAGACUGAAUGAAUGUGUACAACUCACACAUGUAGUGUUCCAUGUCUCUAGUUACUUCAUAGUUCAUCGAGUCACAGGCCAAAGGUUUUUUACAAAAUGGAAGCACUCUCAAUACCAUAAUAAUGCAAUGAUGAAGAAUGUGCAGACUUAAUCUCACCAAGUUUUUUCAAAACAGACAUCAUAAGCUAAACAUCAAAGUUUCUAUGCAUGAAAUUGACAAGGACAGACACAGCUAGUACACAAUUACUACUGGUAGCUGUAUACAAUACAACAAGAGAGGGGCCAAGACAUUCUCAGACAAUAAUGAUUCCUGGCCGAACCAGCAACAAUCACUACAAUUCAAUGAUAGCGACGACUUCAUCCUUAAACGUUCGAUAAUGACAAUAAAGGGGCUCUGAAACACGUAUAGACUUUUAGCAAGAAUGAGGCUUAUGAUGAUGCAUUUAGAAAGACAAAUAAAAUAUUUCUCACUCUUAUGACGAAUAAUGAACAUUCAUGGACUGGAUUACCCUCUAAAGGAACCCUGAACACUGUCUGUUCAAUUUCUGGAGACUAUGGAGUGAAAUCUCUUUAACAUCAAAGAUCAUCUUUUAAGCAUUGCCUGUAAUGUCAAUAUAAUAUCUUAAGUAUUUUAAACUCAUUCAUUAUCAUACCGUUUUUUAGGUAAUACCCUAACCACGUACAACAAAGGGUCUCCUUCCUGUGAAUAUUGAAAGCCAGUUCUUCUUAGUAGCUGCCAAUUCGAAAGGAUCAUUAGUCAUUUAUAAAAUAAGUAAAUUCACGAGACGAUUUGAAAUAUUUCAAAAUAUCCCAACAUCGAAAGUCAAAGCAUUUGACAGUCUUACCAUGAACAGAGGACACCUCAUUGCUGUAGUUAAGGCACGAGAAAUACUAGUGCAUAGACAAACCCAAAUACCGGUAUGUCCUUCUCAGUGUUUGUAUUUUAUUAUUUUCAGCUAUUGUAGUUUGUUCUGUUGAAGCACAAACUUGAAGAGAUUAAAAUUGAAUAUAACGAUACUAAUAAUUAGUCAAAUGAGGAGUCACCAUUGAAUCAUUUCGAAAAAAAUGCCAUCAAAGAGUUACCAGACUGAAUGGUUAAAUAAUAGUGAUGAAGAAUGGCUUAAUCUCACCAAGACCUUUUCAAAUCGGAUAUCUCUUUCCGAACCAUUCGUUUAACAUGAAACUUUCUAUGCAGACAGUGCCAGACACAGUACACAAUAACUACUGACAACUGUAUACUGCAAGAUUACAAUGUAAUGAGAGAGGGGCCGAGACAAUCUGAUUCCUGGCUGUGGGCAGUGAUGACAAAAAACAUAAACGACAAAGUUUAUACUGCUGUAACUGGCAAAAAUUAUUACAAUUCAAUGAUACUUGAACAUUCAAUGAUGACAGGGCUUUAAAACAUGUACAGACUUUUAGGAACAAUGAGGCUGAUGAGAAUUCAUUUGGAAUGAUGAAUGAAGAAAUUAAUACUUAUCACUCUUACGAUGAAUAAUGAACACUCGUGGACUGGAUUACAGUCUAUGAAGGGAACCUGAACAUCGUCUGUUCAAUUUCAUUCAAUUUCUGGAGACUAUGGAGUAAAAUCGAAUUUCUUUUACAUCAAGUAAGCAUUGCUCCAUUUGCCUGUCAAAAUCUCAAUCGUUUUUCAGAUAAUACCCUAAUCAGGUACAAUAAAGGGUCUCCACUUAUGCAUAUUGAAAGCCAAUUCUUCUUAGUAGCUGCCAAUUUGAAAGGAUCAUUAGGCGUUUAUAAAAUGAGUAAAUUCACGGAACAUUUUGAAAUAUUUCAAACUAUCCCAGCAUCAAAAGUCAAAGCAGUUGACUGUCUCACCAUAAACAGAGGACACUUCACCACUGUAGUUAAGGCACGAGAACCACUAGUAUGUAGACAAACCUAAAUAUGUCCUUCUUGGCAUUAUGUAUUUUAUUAUUUUCAGCUAUUGUAGUUUGUUCUGUUGCAGUACAAACUUGAGGAGAC